Molecule: long non-coding RNA, 15728 nt
Filed under: Gossypium barbadense (sea-island cotton)
Lineage: Eukaryota; Viridiplantae; Streptophyta; Magnoliopsida; Malvales; Malvaceae
Description: long non-coding RNA (GBAR_LNC004959)
Source: RNAcentral
CUCUCAACUCCCAUUCCUCGGCCGUUCCGAUUCGCCGCCACGGCCGGUGGCCGGCGUCGCGCAAAGGGGGCUCCCGAUCCGCACGUUGAAGCACCUUUAAAGGUUCAAGCCUUGGAAAGGGGAAUCGAGGAGAAAACAAGAUCUUUGGCCCCCUCUCAAGCCCGAAUCCGACGACGGCAAAGGACCAUCGCCGGCCGGUCUAAGGGCCGAUUCAGGUGCACUCCCUCUUCCUUUUUUUAUAUUUAUUUUCUUUAUUAAAACGAAGUGGUAAAAAGAAAAGGAUAAAAUAAAAUAAAAUGAAAAUGCAAAAUGAAAAUGAAUAGAAACCGGUAAAGGCUUAACCUUUUUGAACUUCUAUUUUUUUUGUUUUUGAUUUCUAAUGUGCGUUUUUUUUACCAGGGAAAUCCCCCCCGAACCCUGAUACAAGAAAACAUUCGGCCUUUAUAGCCAAAAUACAAAAUCUUUCCGUUCUAUUCUCUGUCGUUUCUUUUUUGUCUAUCUCUUCUUUUUGUUGUUUUCUUUUUAGUCCGCGUGUCUUCUUCUCCUUGCAGGUGCCCGUGGCCGACAGUGGUGGCAGAGGCGUGCGAGUGGGCGUGGCAGACGAGGAGGCCACGCGAGGCAUGCGGCGCUAGGGUUUGGGGGGCAUCUUUCUGCCGAAAAUGUUAAUGUUGUCUGGGCUGGGUUUUUAAUUUUUGUUUUGGGCCAUGGGCUACAUUGGGCUUGUUAUUUUCCUUUGUAAUUGGACUGUUGUUUAUCUUGUUUUAAUAUUCGGGCCUGGGCAUAAAAUUGGGCCUUACAGCUGCCCCUCUUUGCUUGUUAUCGUGUAACGAGAACAGAGCAAAGACUAAGAAAGGCCAAUUUUGCCCGGGCUCGCCGAGUUUUGACUUCUUUUGGUGCUUCCUUUCUUCAAGUAGCCUCAUUCUAGUCCACUGUGUCUUAUGAUAUAUGCCUUGUAGUUUAAAUCUACUCCAAUGUGACUUCAAUCUGCUCUUUUAUCACUUCAGUGAGAUGAGAUUCGUGAUCUUCUCUUUUGUAACUCUAGCGAGACAAGAUUUGAUAUCCUCGAUCAGUUCCACUGCGACCUCAGGGAGACAAGACUUGCAACUUUUGACCGGCUCCACUGCAGCUUCAGGGAGACCAAGUCUGGUGUCUUUCAUCAACUUCAAUCUUUAUUCUUACUUGGCAUGUGAUCUUGAGCCCAACUCAUUUCUCGCAAUAUGAAUUGACUCUUUAAAAACAGACAUUAAAAACAAAAACUAAAGAUAUCUCAACAUGUGAACUGAGGCUCAACUCACUUUUCGCAAUAUGAGUUGAUUUUUUUGACAACAGAAAUUGAAAUUACCUCAGCGUGUCCUAAGGCUCAACUCAUUUCUCGCAAUAUGAGUUGAAUUUUGAAAAGCAGAAAUUGAAAAUACCUCAACGUGUCUUGAGGCUCAACUCAUUUAUCGCAAUAUGAGUUGAAUUUUGAAAACAGAAAUUGAAAUUACCUCAAUGUGUCUUGAGGCUCAACUUAUUUCUCGCAAUAUGAGUUGAUUCUUUCAAAAACAUAAUGACAAAAACAGAAAUGGAAAAUACCUCGGUAUGACCUGAGGCUCAACUCACCUCUCGCAAAUUGAGUUGAUUUUGAAAACAGAAAUUGAAAUUACCUCAGCGUGUCCUGAGGCUCAACUCAUUUCUCGCAAUAUAAGUUGAAUUUUGAAAACAGAAAUUGAAAUUAUCUCAGCGUGUCCUGAGGCUCAACUCAUUUCUUGCAAUAUGAGUUGAUUUUGAAAAACAAAAAUUGAAAAACAGAAAUGAAAAAUACCUCAACAUGUCCUGAGGCUCAACUCACCUCUUGCAAUAUGAGUUGAUUUAGAAAACAGACAUAAAAACAGAAAUUGAAAGUGACUCAACACGUGAGCCAAGGCUCAACUCACCUUUCGCAAUAUGAGUUGAUUUUUUUUGAAAGUAGAAUUUGAAAAUACCUCGGCGUGCCCCGAGGCUCAACUCACCUCUCGCAAUAUGAGUUGAUUUUUGAAAAAACAGAAAUUGAAAUUACCUCAGCGUGUCCUGAGGCUCAACUCACCUCUCGCAAUAUGAGUUGAUUUUUGAAAAACAUAAAUUGAACAGGAAUUGAAAAUACCUCAACGUGUCUUGAGGAUCAACUCACCUCUCGCAAUAUGAGUUGAUUUUUUUUUUUGACAACAGAAAUUGAAAUUACCUCAGCGUGUCCUGAGGCUCAACUCACCUCUAGCAAUAUGAGUUGAUUUUGAAAAACAAAAAUUGAACAGGAAUUGAAAAUACCUCAACGUGUCUUGAGGCUCAACUCACCUCUCGCAAUAUGAGUUGAUUUUCUUGAAAAGCAGAAAUUGAAAAUACCUCAAUGUGUCUUGAGGCUCAACUCAUUUCUCGCAAUAUGAGUUGAUUUUUUUGACAACAGAAAUUGAAAUUACCUCCGCGUGUCCUGAGACUCAACUCACCUCUAGCAAUAUGAGUUGAUUUUGAAAAACAAAAAUUGAAAUUACCUCAGCGUGUCCUGAGGCUCAACUCAUUUCUCGCGAUAUGAGUUGAUUUUUUUGGAAAGCAUGAAUAUCAAAAUACCAAAACUAGUCCUUUGGUAGAACUCGGGUAUCUUUUCCUUUGAUUCAGUGCGACUCUCAUUCAAGAUUUCUUGCUUUACUGGAUUACCUGUAUAUGCCAAGCAUGAUGUCAUCAUGAUAUGCACAUGUUUGUCUUAAAUGUCUUUAUGCCUACAUGAUUAUGCAGUGUUCCUUAAGCAUAUUGGUCGUAUGUCAUUUUCGCCAUGAUUGUUGAGGAUCUGCGUUCAUUGCUUUGAUUCUCGACCUUCUCUUCAGGCCUCAUACCUGUCUUCGAGCUUUACGAGUAAUCGACGUUUCUCAGAUAUCACCCUUUUGCCCUUGGUUAAACUUUGUUCUUGCUUUGAAGAUCUUGCACUUAUCAAAUUCUUAUCCGGAUAAUGCUUGACAUUUCUUUUGUUUAGAGUAUGUUAUUUCACUAUUUAUCAUUAAAUAAACACAUAAUGAGAUGCAUGAAAAUGGUCAGGUAAGGACAAAAAGGAUAUCUCAUAUUCCUUUAUUUCAAAUGCGGCAAACAAAGAAAGUUAACCAAUGAGAGUAAAAAUGUCAAAAAGAAAGAAAAGGUCGUAUUCAACGGAUACAAAUGCUCUAGAUAUUCAACACAUGAACUCUUCCACGUUCCUCAAUCAAUAAUCUUUUCGAGCAUGGCUUCUUGCGUAGAAAAUUUCAAGCUUUCAGAAGUGCUUCAAAUACUGUAGUCUCACUACUUGACCUAUCAUUCGACCGCCAGGUUUGUUUCAUUAGGACGCCCUCUCGGGUUUUCAUCCUAAUCUUUUUGUACUAAUCAAGACGCCCUUUUCGGGUUUUCGCCCUGAUCCCUCUUUUUUUUAUUUUUUAUUUUUUUUAAGAUGCCCUUUUCGGGUUUUCAUCUUAAGCAUAACAUUUCUUCACCGCAUCUGAAUUCACCGAAUUCGGUAACUCCUUCCCAUCUAUCUCGGUAAGGAUUAAAGCUCCUCCUGAGAAUGCCUUUUUUACAACGUAUGGUCCUUCCCAAUUUGGUGCCCAUUUUCCUCGCAGGUCUUUUUGUAUUGGGAGAAUCUUUCUCAGAACGAGUUCUCCUUCAUGGAACUCUCUUGGUCGUACCUUCUUGUCAUGGGCUGCAAUCAUUCUCUUUUGGUACAUUUGCCCAUGACAAAUUGCCUUUAGACGUUUUUCUUCAAUGAGGUUCAACUGAUCAUAUCGAGCUCGAACCCAUUCUGCUUCUUCUAACUUUGAUUCCAUCAAUACUCGCAGAGAGGGGAUCUCAACCUCGAUAGGUAGCACAGCUUCCAUUCCAUAGACUAGAGAAAAAAGAGUUGCUUCCGUAGAUGUUCACACAGAUGUACGAUAUGCAAAUAAAGCAAAUGGAAGUUUCUCGUGCCAAUCUUUAUAUGUCUCAGUCAUUUUCCCAAUGAUCCUCUUAAUGUUCUUGUUAGCUGCUUCAACAGCCCCGUUCAUCUUUGGGCGAUAGGGCGAGGAAUUAUGAUGCUUUAUUUGGAACUGCUCGCACACUUCUUUCAUCAUCUUAUUGUUCAGAUUCGUGGCAUUAUCUGAGAUGAUUCUUUCAGGCAAACCAUAUCGGCAAAUGAUUUCCUUUUUCAAAAACUUGCACACUGCAGUCUUCGUCACAUUGGCAAACGAAGCGGCUUCAAUCCAUUUUGUGAAGUAAUCGAUAACCACAAAAAUGAAUCGAUGUCCAUUUGAAGCUUUUGGAGAAAUUGGCCCUAUGACAUCCAUGCCCCACAUAGAAAAAGGCCACGGAGAAGUCAUGACAUGAAGGGGUGAAGGGGCUACAUGAAUUUUAUCGCCGUAGAUUUGACAUUUGUGGCAUUUUCUGGCAAAAUUGAUGCAGUCACUUUCCAUUGUCAGCCAAUAAUAACCGAGUCUCAUGAUCUUUCUGGCCAUAUUGAAACCAUUGGCAUGCGUUCCGCAAAUUCCCUCAUGGACCUCUUCAAGUAUUUUUCUGGCUUCAACAUCAUCCACACAUCUCAAAAGCAUCUGAUCCUUUCCUCUUUUAUAUAGGAUAUCCCCAUCAAGAACAAAUCCCGCUGCCAUUCUUCUAAUUGUUCUUUUAUCGUUCUCAUUCGCUUGUUCGGGAUACCUUUGAUUCUUGAUAUAUUCUAAGAUAUCAUGGAACCAAGGCCGUCCGUCUACUUCUUUCUCAAUGCUACAACAGUGUGCAGGGACCUCGUAUAUGCUCAUUUUGAGGGGCAUUAUUUCUGCUUCUCUACUUGCUUUGGACAUUGAAGCCAAAGUGGCUAGGGCAUCAGCCAAUUGGUUCUCUUCUCGUGGGAAGUAAUGAAAAGUUAUUUCUUUGAAUUCCUUGAUCAAUCCAGCCACUAAAUCGCUGUACUUAAUCAAUUUUGAGUCCCUCACUUCCCAUUCUCCACGGAUUUGGUAAAUCACUAGGGCUGAGUCCCCGUACACCUCCAAGAUCUCGAUGUUUCGUUCGAUAGCUGCACGAAGCCCCAUGAUAUAGGCCUCAUAUUCUGCGAUAUUAUUGGUACAGAAGAAGUUCAGUCUUGCAGUGAACGGAUAAUGAUUCCCGUCUGGUGAUACCAGGAUUGCUCCAAUUCCAUGCCCUAAAGCAUUUGACGCACCAUCAAAGCACAUCUUCCAUGACUUCUCUUUUGAUGACUCGGAUUCUAUUUUUGUGAUGCACAUUAAGUCUUCGUCUGGGAAAUCGAAUCUUAAAGGCUCAUAUUCUUCUGUCAUUCGAGUUGCUAAGAAGUCAGCUAUUGCGCUCCCUUUUAUCGACUUCUGACCUACAUAGGCAAUGUCAUAUUCCGAAAGGAGGAUCUGCAAUCGUGCCAUUCUUCCUGAUAGUGCCGGCGAUUCCAUCAUGUAUUUUAUUGGGUCCAGCUUUGAAAUUAGCCAUGUCGUGUGAUACAACAUAUAUUGUCUGAGUCUCCGAGCUACCCAAACCAGAGCGCAACAAUAUUUCUCAAUGGACGAAUAUUUUGCCUCAUAUUCAGUGAACUUUUUGCUGAGGUAGUAGAUCGCCUUUUCUUUUCUCCCUGACUCAUCAUGUUGCCCCAGUACGCAACCCAUUGAGUUUUCAAACACGGUCAGGUAUAAAAUUAAGGGUUUUCCAAGGGUCGGUGGUACUAGCACAGGAGGAUUAGACAGAUACCGUUUUAUCUUAUCGAAGGCCACUUGGCACUCCUCGUUCCAUUCUCCCGGGUUAUGUUUUUGAAGGAGUCGAAAAAUUGGGUCGCAUUGGUUGGUAAGUUGAGCAAUGAAUCGAGCAAUGUAAUUCAACCUCCCUAAAAAUCCCCUGACUUCUUUCUGUGUGCGCGGGGGAGGUAAUUCUUGGAUGGCUUUUAUUUUAUCUAGAUCAACUUCGAUACCUCUUUCACUAACAAUGAAGCCUAGCAAUUUUCCCGAGGUAGCCCCGAAUGUACAUUUGGCUGGAUUAAGCUUUAGCUGAAACUUUCUCAGCCUUUCGAACAACUUCUUGAGGUUCAUUACAUGUACUUCUUCUCCUCGAGAUUUAGCAAUCAUAUCAUCGACGUAGACCUCUAUUUCCUUAUGCAUCAUGUCAUGGAAUAAUGUCACCAUAGCCCUCUGAUAUGUUGCCCCAGCAUUCUUUAACCCGAAUGGCAUCACCUUGUAGCAGAACGUUCCCCACAUUGUUAUGAAGGUAGUUUUCUCCAUAUCCUCAGGGGCCAUCUUGAUCUGAUUAUACCCCGAGAAUCCAUCCAUGAAAGAAAACAAUGAAUGUUUUGCUGUGUUGUCCACCAACGUGUCAAUAUGUGGCAAGGGAAAAUUAUCUUUUGGGCUUGCUCGAUUCAGGUCACGGUAAUCCACGCACAUUCGUACUUUUCCAUCUUUCUUUGGUACCGGGACUAUGUUAGCCACCCAUUCUGGAUAUUUGGAGGCUUGUAGGAAGCCAGCGUCAAAUUUCUUCUUGACUUCCUCUUUUAUUUUCAACAGCAUUUUGGGUCUCAUCCGUAUUAAUUUUUGCUGGAUGGGCUUGCAUUCUGGCUUUAAUGGGAGCUUAUGGACCACUAAAUCUUCAUCUAGCCCUGGCAUGUCCUAGUAUGACCACGCGAAAACAUCUUUGUAUUCGCGGAGUAAAGUGAUCAAACUAUGCCUGGUACUUUCUGAAAUAGAAGUCCCAAUCUUCACUUCUUGUUUCCUCUCUUCAGUGCCCAAAUUUAUUGUUUCCACAGAUUCUUCAUGAGGCAGAACCUGUUUAUCCUCUUGUUCCACCAUUCUUAACAAUUUAGGAGACGAGACAUAAUCUUCAGCAUUUUCUUCGGCUUCAAAUUCUCCUAAGCAAACAGCCUUCUCAAAAUCAAUUUCAAGAUUCGUAACGGGCUUAUUCAUGUCGUCAAUAUCUGAGCACCUGAAAGUUGAAUGGAAAAGGAAGCUAUAGGGGGACAUAUAAGUAUUGGAAACAACAAACAAAUGUUAUGACAUGGUAAUGAGGCAAAUGUAAGGAUGAGAAAAUGAUUAUGAAAUUAGUGAUAAUGCGAAAAAUCGUGACAAAAUGCAUCUUCAUUGAUAUUCAUUUAAACGAUAAAGAGCGAAUGCAAACUCUUACAAAAGAAUUCUAUUAUAUCUAAGGACACAAUAGAAGGUUGAUGUUUAGCAUUACUCUGAAGGCUUAUAAACUACAAGAAGCUCCUCAGCAAUCUAAUUGUUCAACAUGAAACCAGGGGGGCAAGGGCAUAUCCUCGAGACAUCUUUACUUGCACCAGCUUCUUUGUCAAUGACAUUUAUACUGACAUUCUGAAAAUCCCUUUCAAUUAAUCCCAGCAUGUUUCGUGGAUCAUCUUGUCCAGGGUACAUCAUUCCCGCAGAUGUAAAUGUUUUUGACAAAGGAGGGUACUCUAUUGGUUCCCAUUCUGGUUCUCGGCCCAAAGUUCUUGCAAUUCUUCUCUCUUGAUCCUUCUUCCACUGUCUUCUUCUUUGACGCAUGUCAGGCUAGAACCCCAAACCGUAUCGGGCCUUGUGCUGCACUGGCUUUAAAGCCCUCACUAUUCCUUGCAGAUGUCUCCCUAAACCUCUUCUCGCACGAGCUCCCCUUCCUACGGUCAACUUGACACCCAUUCUGGUAUUUCUCGACAGUUUUGGCAUCAGAAUUCUAUUUCCCUCAGCGACGAAAGUGGCAUUGAUAAAUUCAAGGGAUUGAAAGGAACAUUCCACUGCGUCCUUGCUUACUUCCAGGUAUGGCGCAUCAGUAGAGAUAGAUGCGACGAUGUCUUCUUCGCCCUCGACUGUGACCAAACAGCCAUCCAUGAUGAAUUUCACCUUUUGAUGGAGGGAUGAUGGGACUGCUCCAGCAGAAUGAACCCAAUGUCUUCCCAAAAUGCAAUUAUAAGAGGGUGUAAUGUCCAUGACUUGGAAUUCGACCUCAUAGAUGUAGGGACCCACUUCUAAAGAGAUUUCGAUCUUUCUCAUAACUUCGCGCCUCGUCCCGUCGAAUGCCCUUACCGUGGAAUGACAGGGCUUUAAGUAGGACAAAUCCAUCGGUAUUCUGGAAAGCGUAGCCAAUGGCAUAACAUUUAUCGCUGACCCAUUAUCGAUGAGUACGUUCGGUAUUAUGUAGCCCUUGCAGCGGGUCGUGAUAUGCAGCGCUUUCACCGAGCCUCUACCAUUUGGCAGUAUCUCAUCAUCACUAAAAGAGAUAAAGUUGUCCGCAUUCAGAUUGUUUACCCACCUAUCAAGCUUUUCGACAGAUAUGUUGUUGGCCACGUAAGCUUGAUUUAACACCUUCAAUAAAGCGUUCCGGUGUGGCUCUGAAUUUAACCGUAGAGAUAGAACUGAGAUUCGUGCUGGCUGCUUGCUCAAUUGUUCCACCACACUAUAUUCGCUGUGCUUAAUAAAUUUCAAGAAUUCUUGAGCUUCUUCCUCAUUCACAGGCUUUUUAGUUUCUUGCACGGGUGGAAUUUCUUGCUCGACUUCGACCUCGUACAUCACUGCUUUCCCUUUUUGCUUUGAGUCGCUACUUUUCUUUACCGGUUCAACUUUUUUAGAAUAGCAUCGUCCACUUCUAGUAAAAUGACCUACCUCCCCAACAUCUUCAGUUAUGGCUUUGGACUUUUCAACUUUCGGUGUAACGAUAUUAACAUCAUAUUUCCACGGUACUAUUUUGUUGUCCUUAUACGGGAAAGGAGAUGGUACUUCAAUUACCAUCUGUGGUUUCAAUGGCUCUCUCAUCGCGUCGUAAUAAAUUACCAACGGUCGAUCAGCACUAUAAGGGGGCCCUGAUGAUUGGCUAUCAGAGACGCAUACUUCUCUUUCGUUGGCAUCUUCACUCUUGUUAAGGACCUUGAUCUCCUUAUUAUCCAUCCGGUCUUGAAGUAACCUUUUAAAGUCCUCACAUGACUGAAUGUCAUGUCCAACAAUCCCAUGAAAAUUGCAAAAUCUUUGACCUUCUUCUCCAAAAAUUCUAUCAGAGUGACAGAGCAAUCAUUUCUUAACCAAUACCUCCCAGAUUUUUUGUAGAGGCGUCCUUAUUUCUGAUACACAUCUUCUGACCUUCCAUUCAUCCUCUUUCCCCACUGUGCUCACAUUCCCUUCGGUAUGGUUAGGGAACGGGUUCCCCGUGGCGUUACUAGCACUAUCGAAUCGUAGGAUACCCGCGUCAAUGAGUCCUUGAACUCUCCUUUUGAAAGCGAGACAGUUCUCAGUAGAGUGCCCUUGGUUCCCUGCGUGGUAUGCACAACUAGCGUUUGGAUCGUACUACUUUGGGUAUGGAGGUUUAAGGGGUGCCAUGUAAUGGGGAGAAAUUAGCUAUUUUUCUAAAAGUUUUGGGUACAAUUCCCCAUACGACACAGGGAUGAGGGUAAAUUACGGUCUCUCGGGAUUAUGCCUUGAUUGGCUUUGGACGGGUACCAUGUUUUGUGGAAAAAUGGUGACGGGUCUUUGGUUGUUCGUGGCGUAUACGGGGCAGGACGGAUGUGGUGCUUGGUAGUAAGGGGUUUGAGGGGGAUAAUAGGAAUUCGGGGGUGGAUAAUUUCGAGGUCGGGGUUGGUUAGGAUACGAAUUGGGAAUGUAACGACUUCCAGUUCCCACCAUGUGGGCUUCUGGCUCUUUCUUCCUUAAGGGUGCUACUUUUCUUGAGCCUUCUGAUCCUUUCAUUCUACCGCUCUUGACGGCAUUCUCUAUGAGUUCACCGGAUAUUACAAUAUCCGUGAAAUCUUUCGUGGCACUUCCCACUAAUUUGUCAUAAAACGGUGCCUUUAAAGUAUUGAUAAAGAGAACGGUUAUCUCCGUUUUUGUUAGUGGGGGUUCCACUUGAGCUGAGAUGUCUCUCCAUCUCUGCGCAUACUGUCUAAAGGUCUCUGAUGGCUUUUUCUCCAUCAUUUGCAAGGUCAUACGGUCUGGUACCAUAUCCGAUACAUGCUUGUACUGUUCGCAAAAUGCUGACGCCAAGUCCUUCCAGGAUCGAAUCUUUUCUCUACUAAGUUGAUUGUACCACCGAAGAGCUGACCCUGUUAGACUAUCUUGAAAGCAAUGUAUGAGUAGUUUAUCCUCGUUCACAUAACUGGUCAUUUUUCGACAGAACAUAAUGAGAUGUGCUUUCGGGCACCUUGUCCCAUCAUACUUCUCAAAAUCAGGCACUUUGAACUUCGGAGGCAAAAUUAGAUCAGGUACCAAACUGAGUUCCUUGGCACCUAGUGCGGAGAAGACUUCAGUGCCUUCUAUUGCUUUGAGUCUUUCCUCUAGACUCCUAUAUUUUGCGUCAUGGUUAUCCAAUUUCAACUUGGCUACCUCUGCUGGGUCAUCCAGAUCUGGAACUAGUGGAUUAGCAGAACUAGCCCCUGGGUUCGACGCUAACAUUCCUUGCCCCAAAUUAGUGGGUGGAGCAGGUGGCAUAGGUCGAUGUUCCAAGCCAGUGGGUUCCUCUUGAGUAUACCCUCUUUGUAUUGUAUAUGCGGGCGGUGGAGUGAAUCCCGGGGGAUAGAGUGGAUCCUGAUCAUGGUGAAUUCUUGACCGAGGUUCCAUAACAUCGGGGUUCUGCAUUUUUCCUUUGACCAAAGUUGUCAUCAUCUCCAUCAUUUUAGCCAUCUGAUCUCUUUGCUCGAGAGAUUCCCCUCGAGAUCUCACCAUUAGGUCUCUCGUCUCUUGUUGCGAUUUGGCCAGUUGCUCUUGUAAUUCCUUUUGAGCCCUUUCCAUCCUUUCAAUUCUCUCAUUGAAUUCAUUCUCCAUUACUCUAGCUUGUCGGCGCGUUUUAUACGGAUGACGUGGUUCCAGUCUUGAAGUCUAGCAACUGCGAAUUGUACGUUUUAACCUAAGCGAACGAGUAUGGGAUAUGCAAUGAAUGAACUGAUGCAUGAAUGAAUGCAUGAAUGUCAAAUGAAUGUCAGUUAUGACUGAAAUGCAAGAAAUUGGUGUUGAUUUCAAGAUAGCCCCAUAUUUAGGCAUUUCAUUUAUCAACAUAGUCUAUUACACAAAGUUCUCAUUUUUCCAACAGUUACACAAAUUUCCUAGCCACAUUGCCUUGUUUCUUCACUUGCUCUAAAAACUCUGAUAUGCUCGAUCUUUGGCUCGAAGGGAAUUGGCAACUGAGAACUUCGGCUUCAUCUGAUAAUUGAACAACUUGCAUAGCCGCUUUACGAAUUUCAUUGAUUAAGAAGUCAAGUUGCAUUUCUUUUUCUUUGAGGGUUCCUUCAUACGCGUGAAUGUCCUUAUCGUACUACUCACUAUUUUCUUCUAGAGCCUUCAAGAGGUUAUCUAAUUGUUGUUGACGAGAUUGCAGCAUAUUUUCUAGAUCUCGUGUUUUCCUUUUUAAUUCUUGAUGUUCAGACUGACUAUUCGCCAAUUUUGCAGCCACUAUUUCAUACUCGGCGUUCUUCCUUCUUAACUCUAUCACAGCGCGCGCAGCCUUUUCCUCCUCUUUCUUUGCUUAUCCCUUCCAAAACUCCAUUCCUCCCUUGAUAUUGCUAAUUUCUUCCUUCCAUUCUGCUGUCGACUUGCCCAACCCGCUAUUCUUUAUAGUGUUUCUUAAUUUCUUGUUUUCCAAAUGAAGGUCCCUUAAGUCGUUUCUCACAAUCUCGGCUUCUCUUUGUACUUUUUCAGUCCUGGACCUUUCAACCUGAACUUCAAUCUUCAGUUGAUAGUUUUCUUCUUGAAGGGCACUAAGGUCCCGAGACAUCUUGGCCUUUUCUCGUUCGAAUUCUUGUCUUGCCAUUUCUAGCUCAGACGGCGUUUCCUCCGAGAAAGGAUUCUGGAUGGUGUAGUUUGUUGAUGAGAUUUGCUGACUAUUUACCCGUUGCUUCCUCCAUAUGUCGUAAUCUUGGGUAAGGGUAUCAGCAUACAAAGCUAAUUCCAUGAAAUGAAUUUCCUUCCAAUACUUUGCAGUGUCCCGGACUCUCUUCAUAUAUCCUUCACCCGCGAAAGCGAACUCGAACUGUGCUAAUCCUCCAGUUGCGGGGAGGAAUUGUCGUGAAGAAAACUGCCUUUGAACUAAUAGCGGGGCAUAUCCAAUUCCUCCCCAUAACCCGAGUAAAGGUACCCAAUCUUGGCUUCCACAUUUGUAUAGCAAAACUGAAGGACGGAUCCAGGGUGCUCUCCAUGUUAUAUUCUCGGCGCGAAGAUUCUAAAAAACUGAUACCCAAUGUUGCUUGGUGACUUCCUUCGGCCAUUCUUUAUUGAGGUAAGCUUCUAGCGGGGAGAAUGUUUUAGAAAACAUAUGGAACGGAGUGUGCUCUACCUUCCAGAAGUGACUCAAAAUCCAAACAUUGAGCAACUGCGCGCAUCCGAUAAAUCGUCCCUCCCCUUUUCUUCUACAACUACUCAGGGACCUGAAGGUCUCGGCUAGGAUGGUCGGGACAGGGUUGAUUCCUUGUUUUAACCUUUCGAAGAAAUCAACUACUGCAACUUCGAGAUGUCCGAGAACUUUUGGGAAAAUGACCAAACCGUAAAUGGCCAAAGCGAAUAGAUUUACCCUUUUCAACAUGUUGGGAUGGUUCAGAGCCAAAUCUCGUAGGGAGGACCAUGGAAUGCAAAUGGUUUCAUUCUUCUUCUUUAUCUGUUUUUCGGCCCAUGCAUCAGUCAUGUCUGUCAGUCUCACUAACUUUUUCUUGAAGGUCAUCGGCUUAGGCUCUUUCACAUAUAUUUUGCUGAAUUGUACAUUGUCGAUGCGGAGUAAAGCAGCAUACUCUUCUAUGGUUGGAGUCAUGUCUUCUUGAUUGAAGGUGAAACACUGAUAAGCUGGGUCCCAGAAUCGAACCAUGGCUUGAAUCAACUGUUCGUCUAUACGGAUGGUGAUCAGGUGAGCUAUAUCUCUAUACCUCUCAGUGAAAAUGUCUCUAGUGUCUGAAUCCCACUGAUUCCAAAUUCGAACCAAAUCCUCAAGGUUAUUUUGGCGAACAUUUACAGUUAUAUGUUCGGGCAAAUUGGGGACACAUCCUUCCACUAGACUAUCCCCCUUUUCUUUCUGAAUUUUUAGAGACCAGUCCCGAACCACGGCACUCUUCUCGGUUAUUUGUGUAAUUGACUCCUCCAUCAGAAACCCGUUUUUUGGCAACCAACCCUUAGUCAACACCUUCUUAAUAUGAUGCCUAUGAUGCAUGAUGAAAAUAAAAGUGAAAACAAACAAACUUGGUUAGUAAACACAACAAAUAUAAUUUGAAAAAUAAAUUAAACUACCCAAUCCAAUUAUUUUGCACAAACAGUGUAAAUGGAUGGCAAAAGGUAUUUUCCCCGUAUACUUGUUUUGGUGACUAUAAGCGGACAGAGGUUCGGCAUGGCUCUAAUUGGAUAGCUCGUAUGGUUCACUAUAUGCGGUUUUGGUUCUAGGUGGGUACUCGAAUUGCCCGUACUAUCAUCUGCUAAGAUUAGCACAGAGCCUCGGUCAUGGCCCAUCAUAGGCUUACGAGAUCAAUUCGAGGGAUUACAUUUACUUAUGCCUAUGCGGAGGGACAAGUUAACUCACGAAAGCAUAAGUCAUAUGUAACCCGAAAGUAUUCACUAGCCUGUGCGGAGGGACGAGUUAACUCACGAAGGCGUAGCAUUUACUUUCACUUAAACGGACGGAGCCCGGGUAGAGAGCUCAUGUUAUGCGAAAAUGCAAGUACACGGUGUGUGGGGAACAACUCAUAAACCUUUACGUUUCACUUAAAGAAACUAAACCAAAAUUAAAACCAUAAAAAUUGAAACACUGAAAAACAACCAAAUAAGCAAGUUAGAAGAAAUAUUUACAGCACGAUACAAAUGCAUGAAUUUUGAAAACGAGAUUUUCGGAUCAUGACCAAAUAUUUACUUUGAACAAGGAAAUUUGAAAAUUUUGACAAAAUGUGUUUAAUUCCAGACACGACUCUCAACAAGGCGGUCCCCAGUGGAGUCGCCAGCUGUAGCGACGUAAAAAUUGGUUCCGGGGUCGCUAAUUGUGGCGAUCUAGUGAAAAAGUUUGGAAACUGAAGUUCAAUUUUAAAAUAAAGAGGGAGUCGCCACCGAUCUUUUUUACUAGGUGUGACCGGACACCUGUCAGACUUCUUUUUUUUAAAACAAAAGGAAGGCUAAAUUUAAGUCUACGUUAAAAGCCAGAGGAAAAUUAGGGUUCGGGAGUCGGUUACGCGCAAGGAAGGUAUUAGCACCCUCGCGACGCCCAAAAAUUGGUAUCUCAUAAACACAUGUUGUCUUAAUUUUCAAAAAUACGGUUCAAUGUAAAAUUUAGUCGUGAUCCGAUUAAAAAACAAGACUUUAGUUUAUUCCGUUUUUUCUUUUAAAAGGGUAUAUCACUUUAACACGAGUCAAAAUACGUUCACCCAACAUAGCGAUGAACUUGAUAACUUAAUGUUAAAUCGAUAUAUUGCCUUGACUAUUGAAAUUAAUUAGAAAACCGGAACGUAAUUUUCAAGAGAAUGCAAGACAUAAUUGAUACGAAAUGAAAAUAAGCAAAUGAAACGACUUGACACAUUUGAAACAAAUAACAAACAUAACCAUAAUAUUAGAAAAUAAUAACCGUGCAUGCAAGAUCAAAUGCAAUGUUAGCAUUGAAUACGAGAACGUAACAAGGAUACAAUGAAUACACAUAUGAAGAUAAUUAAGAGUAUAUACGUAAAAUAUUUAUAUAAAUAGUAGUAGUGUUAGAAAUAUACUAUACGUAUAGUGUUUGAAGUACGUAUAAGAUAGUAAAAAAGUACAUAACUAGCAACAAUAAAAUAAAAUAUAUACAUAUAGGUGUAAAAAAUAAUAUUACAAAAAGGGUAGGUAUACAUGUAUAAAAAAUAGAUGUAUUAACAAUGAAUAUAAUAAUAAAUAUAAUAGUAGAAAAGAUAAUACUAUAUGAAAUGUGUAUAUAUAUAAUAACAUAUGUAUGCUAAUAUGAAUAAUGAUAAUAAUACUAAUAAUAAUAAUAAAACACGAAGAAGUAUAUAUAAUAUAAUGAAAAUAUGUAUGUCUAUACGUAUAUAUAUGUGUAUGUAUAAGAAUUAUAAAAUAUGAUAACAUAAUUACAUAUAUAUAAAUAACAUGCGCAUAUGUGUAUAUAAUGAUUUAAAUCAAGUAAUACAAAUAAUAAGAAAAAUAUUAGGUAAAUAAAAUAUACACAUAUAUAUAACUUAAAAUAAAUAAUAAAGGAAACUCCCCUGUUCUUUUUUUUAAAACAAAAAAAUAAUAAUAACUUAAAUGAAUUAAAGGAUGAAAAUUAAAAUCAAACCAAAAUCCGAGGGUCCAAACUGUAAAUAUAUGAAAUAUGUGGUAAAGGGACUGAAAUAAAAGGCGCCGAGGACAUGGGGGACCGAUUGCGCAAUAUUCCCUGUUUGAGUAAAACAAAAACUGUAUCGAAUGUGCCGCAGAAAUGGAGGGACCAAAGGUGAAAAAUACCUAUUAUGGCAAUAAUGUGCAGAUUUUCCUCCCUUAAACGACGCAGUUUAGAAUCUUGUAUAAAUAGAAAAAGAUAAAGCCCUAAAAAGCAUCAGCCUCCAUUUCCCUUUUUUUUUAAAAAAAACUGAGGAUUUCAAAUCCUCUCAACUCCCAUUCCUCGGCCGUUCCGAUUCGCCGCCACGGCCGGUGGCCGGCGUCGCGCAAAGGGGGCUCCCGAUCCGCACGUUGAAGCACCUUUAAAGGUUCGAGCCUUGGAAAGGGGAAUCGAGGAGAAAACAAGAUCUUUGGCCCCCUCUCAAGCCCGAAUCCGACGACGGCAAAGGACCAUCGCCGGUCGGUCUAAGGGCCGAUUCAGGUGCACUCCCUCUUCCUUUUUUUUAUAUUUAUUUU